CAGCAGACACAUUCCAGCCAAUCAGCACCAGACCCUCCCUCCCAGACCCUCUCACCUCCUGGACAGCAUUCAUUUUGAAGCUGCAUUUUUAGUGAGCUGUCCAGGAGGUGGGAAGGUCUGGGAGGGAGGGUCUGCUGCUGAUUGGCUGGAAUGUCUGCUGAC
Molecule: microRNA precursor, 162 nt
Filed under: Pelobates cultripes (western spadefoot toad)
Lineage: Eukaryota; Metazoa; Chordata; Amphibia; Anura; Pelobatidae
Source: RNAcentral